Molecule: ribosomal RNA, 336 nt
Filed under: Triticum aestivum (bread wheat)
Lineage: Eukaryota; Viridiplantae; Streptophyta; Magnoliopsida; Poales; Poaceae
Description: partial small subunit ribosomal RNA
Source: RNAcentral
AUGUUCGACCAGGCUGUGCAGCUAGGGAUACUUGGCCCCAUUGGACACCAAAAUCUGCCCUUCAGAACAUCGCUUUACGUGGACGACGCUGUGUUUUUCAUCAAUCCGAGAGCGUGUGAAAUCCAGGCGGUCAGGAGCAUGCUGUUGCUGUUCGGGGAGGCCACAGGACUCAAGUGCAAUUUUUCCAAGUCAUCAGUCACGCCCAUAUACUGUGAGGGGGUGGAUGUUGGGUCGAUCCUUCAAGGCCUGGAAUGUCCGCUCAAGCCUUUCCCCUGUCAAUAUUUGGGCAUGCCCAUCUCAGACUCAAAAUUGAAAAAAGGGGAACUACAACCGGUG